This 252-nucleotide ribosomal RNA is filed under the name uncultured bacterium. Its description in RNAcentral is "partial 16S ribosomal RNA". It matches the Rfam family "Bacterial small subunit ribosomal RNA", at positions 524 to 776 of the family's 1533-position model. The record is from RNAcentral.
UACGGAGGAUGCGAGCGUUAUCCGGAUUUAUUGGGUUUAAAGGGUGCGUAGGCGGGUUGUCAAGUCAGCGGUAAAAUCGUGGAGCUCAACUCCAUCCAGCCGUUGAAACUGAUGAUCUUGAGUGGGCGAGAAGUAUGCGGAAUGCGUGGUGUAGCGGUGAAAUGCAUAGAUAUCACGCAGAACUCCGAUUGCGAAGGCAGCAUACCGGCGCCCGACUGACGCUGAAGCACGAAAGCGUGGGUAUCGAACAGG